This 261-nucleotide long non-coding RNA is filed under the name Capsicum annuum. Its description in RNAcentral is "long non-coding RNA (CANN_LNC018803)". Lineage: Eukaryota; Viridiplantae; Streptophyta; Magnoliopsida; Solanales; Solanaceae. The record is from RNAcentral.
UCUGAGGGUUGGUUUGCUGACGCGAUAGCAUGACCCUCAUCUUCUAGGUCGUCUCAGCAGUCGAUUCCUACUCUUACCAUGUGGGGCCACUUCAUGGGUCUACACAGACUCAUUUUGCUCCUAUCACCAUACCGCUGCCAUUGCAGUACUAUCGGAUGAUCACUGGCCUAUCCGGAGUACUACAAUCAUCAGUACCCUCCUAUAGUAGUCACGCAACUUCGCACAGUGGUUUUACAGGGGUGGCUCCCUACAUAUUGCGGG